RNAcentral lists this ribosomal RNA (446 nucleotides) under uncultured bacterium. RNAcentral describes it as "bacterial SSU rRNA". It matches the Rfam family "Bacterial small subunit ribosomal RNA", at positions 330 to 793 of the family's 1533-position model. The record is from RNAcentral.
UCCAGACUCCUACGGGAGGCAGCAGCGGGGAAUAUUGGACAAUGGGGGAAACCCUGAUCCAGCGACGCCGCGUGAGUGAAGAAGUAUUUCGGUACGUAAAGCUCUAUCAGCAGGAAAGAAAAUGACGGUACCUGACUAAGAAGCCCCGGCUAACUACGUGCCAGCAGCCGCGGUAAUACGUAGGGGGCAAGCGUUACCCGGAUUUACUGGGUGUAAAGGGAGCGUAGACGGCAGCGCAAGUCUGGAGUGAAAUGCCGGGGCCCAACCCCGGAACUGCUCUGGAAACUGUGAAGCUGGAGUGCAGGAGAGGUAAGCGGAAUUCCUGGUGUAGCGGUGAAAUGCGUAGAUAUCAGGAGGAACACCGGCGGCGAAGGCGGCUUACUGGACUGUAACUGACGUUGAGGCUCGAAGGCGUGGGGAGCAAACAGGAUUAGAUACCCCAGUAA